This 394-nucleotide transfer-messenger RNA is filed under the name chicken gut metagenome. It matches the Rfam family "transfer-messenger RNA". From Rfam's summary of the family: Bacterial tmRNA, also known as 10Sa RNA or SsrA, is named for its dual tRNA and mRNA-like properties. Its role is to liberate the mRNA from a stalled ribosome. To accomplish this part of the tmRNA is used as a reading frame that ends in a translation stop signal. The record is from RNAcentral.
GGGGGCGUUAUUGGUUUCGACGGGGAGCAUUGGUCGAAAUGUAAAGCAUGUGGCAUGCCCUUUGCCUUAGUAAGGACAACGCGAAUAAACGCAAACAAUAACACCGUUCGUAUGGACACUGCAAGCUACGCUUGCGCUGCCUAGUCGGACAAAACAAACGGUCGAACAGAUUUUGACCAAAUCUUCUGAAAUGUUCGUCAGCAUGCAGUAAGGUUUCAAAAUUAUUGACGCUCUUUAGUCAAGAUUGCCUUGCCUUGACUAUACCAAAAAGGCUCAGCCAAUAAAAUUUUGUCUAUGCAAAGAUUAUUGGUGAAAGUUUUGGCAUAGACUAAACAUGUAGAAAAGUUUCGCACAAGUUUUUCGGAAGCGGGUUCAAAUCCCGCCGUCUCCACCA